This 85-nucleotide small nucleolar RNA is filed under the name Triticum dicoccoides. Its description in RNAcentral is "snoRNA snoR8a". It matches the Rfam family "Small nucleolar RNA snoR8a". Lineage: Eukaryota; Viridiplantae; Streptophyta; Magnoliopsida; Poales; Poaceae. The record is from RNAcentral.
AUUGUGCAGUGAUUAUAAAACAUUCCUCGUACUGAUGGGAGAUCCACAUGAAUGACUCCUAUACGCCCAUAUAAUCUGAGCACCA